RNAcentral lists this ribosomal RNA (497 nucleotides) under uncultured bacterium. RNAcentral describes it as "partial 16S ribosomal RNA". It matches the Rfam family "Bacterial small subunit ribosomal RNA", at positions 28 to 507 of the family's 1533-position model. The record is from RNAcentral.
GACGAACGCUGGCGGCGUGCCUAAUACAUGCAAGUUGAGCGAUGAAGAUUGGUGCUUGCACCAAUUUGAAGAGCAGCGAACGGGUGAGUAACGCGUGGGGAAUCUGCCUUUGAGCGGGGGACAACAUUUGGAAACGAAUGCUAAUACCGCAUAAUAACUUUAAACAUAAGUUUUAAGUUUGAAAGAUGCAAUUGCAUCACUCAAAGAUGAUCCCGCGUUGUAUUAGCUAGUUGGUGAGGUAAAGGCUCACCAAGGCGAUGAUACAUAGCCGACCUGAGAGGGUGAUCGGCCACAUUGGGACUGAGACACGGCCCAAACUCCUACGGGAGGCAGCAGUAGGGAAUCUUCGGCAAUGGACGAAAGUCUGACCGAGCAACGCCGCGUGAGUGAAGAAGGUUUUCGGAUCGUAAAACUCUGUUGGUAGAGAAGAACGUUGGUGAGAGUGGAGAGCUCAUCAAGUGACGGUAACUACCCAGAAAGGGACGGCUAACUACGUG